Molecule: long non-coding RNA, 395 nt
Filed under: Malus domestica (apple)
Lineage: Eukaryota; Viridiplantae; Streptophyta; Magnoliopsida; Rosales; Rosaceae
Description: long non-coding RNA (MDOM_LNC006320)
Source: RNAcentral
CAUCGUGGGCGUGUGAGGCUUUUGGCCUUAACCUAAGGUGCUAGUUGUUUUGUAGGUGCAAAAUCGUCCAAGAUCGAAGAGGAGAAAAUUUGCAUCCACAAAUUGGUGCUUUCAUUGAGAGUUGAAAUCCAUACUCGUAGAAGACUCUCGCACAAAAAGGUUUUUUCUUUAUUUUCUAGUCCAUUUGAAUAUUUUUCAUAUGUUCUUAUUAUUAGAAUUUUUUACUUGCAAAGGUUCUUUGAUAAAACGUAUAAGCAAAAUAUAAUGGUUAGAAAUUUAGAAAAUUCCACAAGUGAAAAUUCUAAUGUUCAAGAAAUGGGAUUGCGGAGAUCCGUGAGGCUAAAUGCGACAAUAAGUGGAGCAGCACCACCACCACGAGUUUCCACCAUAGGAAC